Molecule: non-coding RNA, 45 nt
Filed under: Trichobilharzia regenti
Lineage: Eukaryota; Metazoa; Platyhelminthes; Trematoda; Strigeidida; Schistosomatidae
Source: RNAcentral
AUCGAGCUGACGAGUCCCAAAUAGGACGAAAUGCGCAUCAUGGGU